CGCGCAGGCGGUCGAUCAAGUCGAGUGUGAAAGCCCCCGGCUCAACUGGGGAGGGUCAUUCGAUACUGAUCGACUCGAAGGCAGGAGAGGGUAGUGGAAUUCCCGGUGUAGUGGUGAAAUGCGUAGAUAUCGGGAGGAACACCAGUGGCGAAGGCGACUACCUGGCCUGUUCUUGACGCUGAGGCGCGAAAGCUAGGGGAGCAAACA
This 207-nucleotide ribosomal RNA is filed under the name uncultured bacterium. Its description in RNAcentral is "partial 16S ribosomal RNA". It matches the Rfam family "Bacterial small subunit ribosomal RNA", at positions 568 to 774 of the family's 1533-position model. The record is from RNAcentral.